This is a non-coding RNA of Zootoca vivipara (common lizard), 2538 nucleotides long. The record is from RefSeq and is a predicted model, not a curated record. NCBI's taxonomy places the organism in Eukaryota, Metazoa, Chordata, Lepidosauria, Squamata, Lacertidae.
CGCCGCCGCCGAGGAGGAGGGAGGGAGGGAAGGAGUCCCGCGGCUGCAAUGGCUGCCACCGGGAGCCGGGAGCGGAUCCUGUGCCUCUUCGACGUGGAUGGGACCCUCACCCCGCCUCGCCAGAAAAUUAAGCCUGAAGUAGCUGAGUUUCUUCAAGAGCUGCGUACAAGAGUGUUAAUUGGGGUAGUGGGUGGCUCAGACUACGCCAAGAUAGCUGAGCAGCUGGGAGAAGGAGAUGAAGUUAUCGGCAAGUUUGAUUACGUCUUUGCAGAAAAUGGCACCGUGCAGUACAAGAACGGGCAACUGGUCUCCAAGCAGGCUAUCCAGAACCAUCUUGGGGAAGAACUUCUGCAGGAUCUGAUCAACUUCUGCCUCAACUACAUGGCACUUCUAAAGCUGCCCAAAAAACGGGGGACGUUUAUUGAAUUUCGCAAUGGAAUGCUGAACAUCUCUCCUAUUGGUCGAAGCUGCACUUUGGAAGAACGAAUAGAGUUUUCAGAACUGGACAAGAAAGAGAGGAUUCGAGAGAAGUUUGUAGCUGCCCUGCAGAGGGAGUUUGCUGGCAAAGGCCUGCGGUUUUCCCGAGGUGGGAUGAUCAGCUUUGACGUCUUCCCUGAGGGCUGGGACAAGCGCUAUUGCCUCGACGUCCUUGAGGAUGAGAGAUUUGACACCAUCCAUUUCUUUGGGAAUGAGACAAGUCCAGGUGGGAAUGACUAUGAAAUCUAUGACGACCCUCGCACGGUGGGGCACAGCAUCCAGUCUCCCCAAGACACAGUCCGGAGGUGCCAGGAGAUCUUCUUUCCAGAGACAGUGAAUGAAUCUUGACCUGUGGUGUCCCUGCUGCUCUCGAUCACUCGGACGAACCCUCACUCACAUUAGGAAAGCACCUUUCGGAUCCUUUCAGGACUUGCUGAGGCCCAAGGUCAAAAUGCACUUUGGAAAUGGGAGUUGGAGUGUCAGAAUGGGAGGGAGAUGAUGAAAGCUCUUCAUCAGUUGUGCCACCAAACGAGGAGAUAUUUAAAUGACUCUUACAGGAAGGAACUGAUUCCGACACAGAGCGACUGCGUUUUUUAGAAUGGACAAAAAGAAAAAAGAAAAGGCAACAUUCAGUUAAUGAGAAAUGUAUCCUUAUUUAAAUUUUAUGUGAAAACCAGAUGUCUACUACUGACCAAUUUGUGGGUUUUUGCUCACAGGCAGCUGUUCAUAUAUAUAUUUUCAAUGCAUCACAAACAGGCAGCUGAGCUCCUACACCCAGGCUUAUAUGCUUUGUAGUUCAAUAUUGUAACUUAAUGUGGAACUAAAUACUAAUAAUAAUGAAGGCACAGGAAAUCAAUACUAUUUGUUUUUGUUAUUUCUGGUCAAUUUGCAUUUGCUCAAAUUCAAACAAACAAAAGCACAAACAGUAACAACUUGGCAGCUUAUUUUGACCAACCAUCUACAGUAUCUGUGAAGGUCACAGAUACAAUUCCCUCACAGAGCCUUAUCCAGCCUGGAUUAUGUUGGACUUCAGUCAGCCCCAAUCCCUAUGGCCAAUUGCCAAGGAUAAUGGUGUUUUAGUCCGAAACAUCUAGAGGUCACCAGCUUGGGGGAAGCUGCCCUAACAUUUCCACAUAAAAGCUCGUGAUGGGAGGGAGAGAAACACUUUGCCUGAAACUUUGAAAAGCUACUGUCUUCAAAAUAGCCCAUCCUGUGCUAGAUGAUUACAUGUAUGGCUGUUGUCCUCUUAAACCAGGCAUCCCCAAACUGCGGCCCUCCAGAUGUUUUGGCCUACAACUCCCAUGAUCCCUAGCUAACAGGACCAGUGGUCAGGGAUGAUGGGAAUUGUAGUCUCAAAAUGUCUGGAGGACUGAGUUUGAGGAAGCCUGCCUUAGACCAUAUUGACAACAUACAUUCAAAGUACUGAUACCACAGCUUCCCCCAAAGAAUUAUGGGAGCUGCAGUUUGCUAAGGGUGUUGAGAGUUGUUGGGAGGCCUCUCUUCCCCUCACAAUUCCCAGAGUUCCUUUGGAGAGGGAUUAUGGCACUACAGCUUCCAGAACUCUUUGGGGGAAGCAGUGAAUGUUUCAAGUGAUAUUGUGCUUUGCAUGUAUGGUGUGAACGUGGCCUAACUGCAGGAGGGGCAGAUGCACACAUGCUGCCCUCAUCCCCUCCAACACUAGAGUUUCUGCUUGAGCAGGGAGGUCUGCAAAGGGAUUGUGGGAACCCUACACAAGUGGGGCUCCCAAUCACAAGGAGGCUUGCGAGUGCCUUUAGUGGAAUGUAUUUACAAUCCCAAUUAGAUCUUCCACCAAACAGGAGGUGGUCAGACAUAGAACAGCCCCACACCUCCUACAUGAUUAGACAUCAGUGCCUGAAGAGGACUUUAGAUGUGAGGUGAGUCCUUACAUAUUUCCUAAGGUGCCAUCUGGGCAGAGUAUAUGGCCCAUGGUGGUCAGUCUUUCCACCUGUCUUGAACAGGACAGUCAGACACCUGAAGACUAGCCACCCAAUUCAAUUCCCUAGAUCCAGAUUUUGUGACGUCAUUCUGGUAUCAUCUGUA